This is a long non-coding RNA of Panicum virgatum (switchgrass), 1801 nucleotides long. RefSeq lists it as uncharacterized. Lineage: Eukaryota; Viridiplantae; Streptophyta; Magnoliopsida; Poales; Poaceae. The transcript is spliced from 3 exons. The record is from RefSeq and is a predicted model, not a curated record.
UGCCGGUGUUCCGGCGCCCAGCCAUGGGAGCCCUGAGCGCAGGCUUCGGGGACGACGGGGAGCCGCCUCGGCGGCUAUGGCGCCUCCAAGGCUCCAACCCCCCAGGCCCCGGCUGCUGGGGGAUGUGGGCGGCGAUUGCUCCCGCAGAGAUGAGGUCGGCGGCGAGCGGGGAUAAAAUGUUGCACUGUCCGCAUGGAAGCCUUUCAACCCUCAAAUGUUCAUCUUUGCUGGCUUAUUCGUUUAGGCAACCCUCAUUUAGCUGCCUCUUUUUUGUUAAGGAAAAAAAGAAGCUUUGAGUUCAAUUCCUGCUAGAAUCUUUCAUCGAACUGUGAUACCAGCCGAUUCACAAUUAUUAUCUGUUUAUUCUUUUAUUUGGAAUGGUAUGACAAGUCAUUGCUGAAGAGAAUAAAGGAACAGAACGCAGUGCCGCCACCACUUCAUCAUGUAGGGGUGCUGUCUAGUGCAUAGAUGUCAAUUCAGUUAUAAAAAGUUCUUAGGUUCUUCUUGAUUGAGGUAUUAAAAAAUCUUUAUAGAUUUCCAUAAGUGGUGGAGCCAAGUACAGGUUUGUGCAUUCUUCUGUUAUGGUCAAAUGCCAUCAUGCCUGCUUGGCAACAUGCGCAAGUGGUAGAGGAGUCAAGACAGCUUGGUGACAAUUUUCUGCUCCCAGACAAGGCCAUGAUAUUUGCUUGACACCUAGCUAAGUUAGUGGAAUCUCGUAGCUGUUCCAGCCAAUGGUAAGUGCAUAUCAGCUUGGCAAUAUCGGCUGUUCCAGCCAUUGGUAAGGCCAUGGUUAGCUGCUCCAUGGGUAGGAAAAUCUCUAUUUUCGGGAAAUUGGGCCAGUUUAGCGAUAUCACUUUAGGGCUUUCUCAUCCCUACAUCAAAUGAUUUGCAUUGGUUUCUCUCCUUUUUUUUUCUCUCCACUGAUUUCAGUGAUUUUCAAGUUUCUUUCCAGUGAAGUUUACUAUUCUGUGGAUAAAGAUUGGUCAGUUGCCAGAGUUCUAUCGGAGCAAAACAGACGGCUACCAAUAAUUGGUAUGCAGCUGCUUUUGUACCCUGCGUAUCUUUUGGUCGGUAUACUGAAUGAUGGCGAUGUUUCUAGGUUAUUGUCAUAACCUGUUAUUGGACACCUCUGAUGUUUUAAGCCCCUCGGCAAAAAGGAGCCGUCCACUAAUCCUUUGUCCUAGAAUAUGUAGAGUGGUAAGUAACCAACCUGAAUGACGGGAGGAUCAUUGUGGGCCAAUGCCAGGAGGCAAUUAGAUAAUCAGAUCAUGACAUGAAGACUUUUGAAGGAAGAGGCCAUGCUGCAACGGAUCUCCAUGGAUCAUGUCGCCCCUUGAUUGAGUACAGUCAUUAUCCAAUCACACAAGAUAAAAACUCAAAAGUUGUGAUUGUGGGUGUUGACAGUGUUCAAGUUCAUGCGGAUUUGGUUCAUGGAUUGGGCAGUCAACGGCACGAGAUUUGGAGAGAUUCAUUUUUAAUCCCACAUGCAGCAACCCCAAAUCACAACAAUUGCAAGAAAGCUCUUAAGCUCAUAUCCAUCCUGCAAGGACUGGGGGGCAUUUCAUGCAUGGACUUUUUUUUUGCUACUGCUGCGUUAUUUGAAUUAACCUGACAAAUGUGGAAAUAUUUUAAAAAUAUAACCUGAAAACAGCCGAAGUUAAAUUCGUUUAUCUUGGCGUGCACUUUUGUUCGGGUCUUGUGCACAUGUAAAUCAUCAAAUGUGUAAUGUGUUGUCUUUCUGUAUCACCGUGUAUGUGCUUCAGAACAGUGAAGAGAAAGGCCAAAGGGUAAAAUUUGUCUA